Vicia villosa (hairy vetch) is the source of this 843-nucleotide long non-coding RNA. RefSeq lists it as uncharacterized. The record is from RefSeq and is a predicted model, not a curated record. NCBI's taxonomy places the organism in Eukaryota, Viridiplantae, Streptophyta, Magnoliopsida, Fabales, Fabaceae. The transcript has 5 exons.
UUGCCCUCCUGCUUCCAUAUUGUUCCACGUGGACAACUUACUUGCAAAGCUUCCCAAUUUACUUCAUGGAAUCACGUUUCUCUCUCAUUUUUUCUCUUUCACGUUUCUCUUUCUCUUACUUUUUCUCUUUUUCUCUCUUUUUCUCUUUCUCUCUACAGAAGGGUUGUUCUUCCUCUUCUUCAAUCUUCUCCAUCUUCCUCUUCCUCGAUCUUCUCCAUAAAUCUUCUUCCUCUUAUCUCUCUUCCUUCUAUUUGUUAUUCUCUUUCUCUAUCGUUGAGAUGAAACUCUGAUUUCUGAUUAUGUAAGCGAUGCACAAAAUUAGGGUUUCAAAAAUCUUAUUUAGCCUAAAAGAAGAAACACAAAAUCAAAACUUUGGUGAAAACACUGGUAUCCCUUUUUGUAUUCUACCAUGCUGAGGAUUGUUGAAGUCUAAUGUAGUGAUUGAAGCAUUUCAAGAUAGGGCUUCUAGGAUGAAUGUUGUUGUUGCUCAAAAUCUAAGCAAGUUCACUAAUCUUGAAUACGGUUUUCAAGAACUCUCGGCUGACUUAGUUGAGGCAGCAGCCGCUCACUGCCAGUUAAUUGUUGUUUCCAAUUGUUCAGAGUUUGAGAAGUUCGGCUGAAUUGACUAGGUUUCAGGUAGCUACUCGUGGAGGUGGUUUAUCAACUAUCAUUGUUGUUAGUUUGGCUGUAACUGGUAUAGAAGUCCUUUAUUACCAUCAAGAUUGAAGCAUGUUCCUAGGUAUUAAUUUUACCAUACUUUCAUAUUUUCAUGUUAAAUUGGUUUAAAUGUUGGUCACCAAUAAUAUUGUUCAAUUACAAUUAGUCAUCGAAGAUUCGAUUUCG